GACGAACGCUGGCGGCGUGCUUAACAUAUGCAAGUCGAGCGGUAAGGCCCUUCGGGGUACACGAGCGGCGAACGGGUGAGUAACACGUGAGUAAUCUGCCUAUCACUUCGGGAUAACUCCGGGAAUCCGGGGCUAAUACCGCAUAUGACCACUUCUGGCAUCUGAUGGUGGUGGAAAGUUCCGGCGGUGAUGGAUGAGCCCCAGGCCUAUUAGCUUGCUUGGUGGGUAGUGGCAUACCAAGGCCACGACGGGUAGCCGGCCCGCGAGGGUGAACGGCCACACGAGAACUAGGACACAGCCCAGACUCCUACGAAAGACAGCAGUGGGGAAUAUUGAACGAUAGGCGAAAGCCUGAUCCAGCAGCGCCGCAUGAGGGAUGACGGCCUUCGGGUUGUAAACCUAUUUCGGCAGAGACGAAGCGCAAGUGACGGUACCUGCUAAAGGAGCACCGGCCAACUACGUG
Molecule: ribosomal RNA, 463 nt
Filed under: uncultured bacterium
Lineage: Bacteria
Description: partial 16S ribosomal RNA
Rfam family: Bacterial small subunit ribosomal RNA
Source: RNAcentral